GCUCCGUUCGUCUAGCGGUCAGGACGCCGCCCUCUCACGGCGGAAACAGGGGUUCGAUUCCCCUACGGAGUACCA
This 75-nucleotide transfer RNA is filed under the name Hyphomicrobiales bacterium. RNAcentral describes it as "tRNA-Glu". It matches the Rfam family "tRNA". From Rfam's summary of the family: Transfer RNA (tRNA) molecules are approximately 80 nucleotides in length. Their secondary structure includes four short double-helical elements and three loops (D, anti-codon, and T loops). Lineage: Bacteria; Pseudomonadati; Pseudomonadota; Alphaproteobacteria; Hyphomicrobiales. The record is from RNAcentral.